Branchiostoma belcheri (Belcher's lancelet) is the source of this 619-nucleotide long non-coding RNA. RefSeq lists it as uncharacterized. The record is from RefSeq and is a predicted model, not a curated record. The transcript has 3 exons. NCBI's taxonomy places the organism in Eukaryota, Metazoa, Chordata, Leptocardii, Amphioxiformes, Branchiostomatidae.
UUUGCAGAGCGUAUCACUCCGCCGUCCAUAGCAACGCCGUUGCUAAGGACGACGUUUUCGCGGGCGGCGGGCUGAAAUUUCAUCCGAGUUGUUGACAGCCGAUUACAUCACCAGUUUCGGCCUCUGCGUCAAGAUGGCGAUUAUCAUAGGCUUCACAGUCUAGAUUGGUAAAAGCCACACCCAGUGGGAUUGUCACCAGCAGGACACCAGGAUGUUAUAUUGUUUAUUUAGCUUGAGAUUAUGGAUAUAUAUAUAAGAUGUAUUAUGUAUUGAGAUCUUAAUUUCCAUCUAUUCUGUUUAUUGUAAUCUUAAUACAAUUUGGGAUCAUAUUUAAUAGUCGAUUCAGCAUUCAAUGUCUACUGUAACUUUUGAGCAUGUGUUAAGUAAUAUAUGUACUGUAAAAGAUGUACUAUGUAUACAUGUAAUGAUCCCAAGUAUUUGAUAUCCCAGUCCACAACAAAAUGUACAUCAUCAUCAUCAUCAAAAUGUACUACUUUGUUUUUUGUUUGGUAAUGAGAUAAAGGUUGAAGCAACGUUAAUGGCUCUUGGGUAAUUUUGUGUAUAAUUGUUAGGAUGUAUGUGAGAGAGUUAUGUUUAGGGAUUUGAUAACACCCAGCAC